This is a non-coding RNA of Dermatophagoides farinae (American house dust mite), 1757 nucleotides long. The record is from RefSeq and is a predicted model, not a curated record. NCBI's taxonomy places the organism in Eukaryota, Metazoa, Arthropoda, Arachnida, Sarcoptiformes, Pyroglyphidae.
UUAAAUAUAUAAUCCAUGAUGACUUAAAAUUUGAAAAACAAUUCCGAUUUUCAUCAUAUUUGGAUCCAUAUAUUCCAAGAAGAAUUCAUUCAUUUUCAAACAAAAAAAAUUUAAUGAAAAAAAAUCCACUGAAUCAGCAUUUAAAAAAUUAUGAAGAAAAGAAAACUAAUCCUAUACCAGUUAUUCGCCAAAGCCAUAAUCAUGAUCAUCAACAUCAAUGUGAAAUAAUCUGUACGACAAUCAGUGCCAUACUAUGUCAUCGAUUGAUUGAUGUUCGACAAAUGUUCAAAAAUGAAAUUUAUUGAUUAAAUCGAUAAAAUCGUUUAUUGGCCAGAAAAAAUGUUAUAUGCAAUAAUAACAAGACAUUUGUGUUUGUUUGUUUGUUUCUGUUCAUUUUUUUAUAUAUGAAUUUCAAGUUCAAAAAUGCAGAAAAAAUGAAUCAUUCAUCAAUAUCAAAAAAUCUCAUCAUCCAGGAUCACGAAAUAAAACCACCCGUUCAUCGUAGUGACGUAUUUUUGUGUUUAUUCAAUGUGAAUCAUUCGGGAGGUAUUUGCCAGACAAAAAAUAAAAAAAAAUCCGGAUUAAUCAAGCCGGAUUUCCAACUGUUUUUUCCACUAUUCAAAAAAAAAUCCAUCUAUACACAAGUCAAUUGAUUUGACAAAACAGAGUGUAAGAAAGAGAAUAUUGAACUCUCUAAUUCACCCUGAAAAUCAAACCAUAAGUAAAAUCCAUGGAUCGGGCAAAGGAAACAAAGCAGAAAAAAAUUGUGAAUAAUGAUCCUGGAAUAUAUAUAGACCAAAAACACUCCAUUCCACACAGAAUAGAAUUGGAUAUUUAAUGAUAAAAAACAAAAUCUUCAGGAACAGGAAUAACAUGUGCACAAUAUUCAAUUCUUGAUGACCAGAUGAUUGUUUUUGACAUCAAAUGACUUAUGACUAAUAACAACAACGAAGACGACGACGAUAAAAUAAUCACAAUAAGUUUGUAAAGAGAGAAAAAUGAUCAUCCACUAGAAAAGAAAUCCAUUUUUAUAUCAUUGAAACGCAAGAUUUUUUUUUCUCUUUUCUCUUAUAUAUAGGAAAUGUAAUAUAUGAAUGUUUGUUUCUGGAAAAAAGUCAAUUUGAAUUUCUCAAUUCUUUAAUCGCUCUUCAAUCGAUCAAUCAAUCAAUCAAUCACAUCGAUCAUCGUAAUCUGAGAAUAUAUUGUAAUUCUAAAGUUGUUUGCUCAUAUCGACCGUCUAAAAAUCUUGUAAAUAAAUGUAAAAUAUUGUGGUCUACUAUCAUCAUCAACCUCUGGUUUUGUUUUGUUUUAUCAACAAAAUUUUUUUUCGAUUAAUUUUCUCACAAACGAUAUGAUCAGUCCAUGCUCGCUUUCAACUGUGUGUGCGUGCGUGUGAAUAAGCUUUGUGUUUUCCAUAAAUGUGGAAAGACAAAACAACUACAGAACACAAUGAUUAAACAAUGAAUUUAUCGUUUUGUACUACUGCCAUUGCUAUUGUUGUUUUAAUAAACAAAAAAAAUCUCUGUCAUCAUCAAUUCAUUAUUAUUAUUAUUAUCAUCGGAAUCUUCUUCAUUAUCAUUAUCAAAAUCACCAUUAACACCAUUAAAAUCUACGGCAACGACGACGACAUUAUAUUGCCUUAUCUAAAUGGUCAUUAUUUAUUUAUUUUUUAAUUAUCAUAUUAUUGGCCAGUUUAGUUAAUUAUUAGCAACAAUAUUAUUUCAAUGAAUCAUUAUCAUCAUCACCAUUGUUUUUGU